RNAcentral lists this long non-coding RNA (210 nucleotides) under Carica papaya (papaya). RNAcentral's name for it is "long non-coding RNA (CPAP_LNC003696)". Lineage: Eukaryota; Viridiplantae; Streptophyta; Magnoliopsida; Brassicales; Caricaceae. The record is from RNAcentral.
UCUCUUCUCACAUUGUAAUUGUUCUUCAAUAAUUACUUAUCCUUUUGAUUGAUGCGAAGAGGAAGUAUCACGAAAAGUUGGUUAACUUCUCUAUGUAUUUUAUAUUAUUAUCAUUAUCAACUUAUGUUUUUAUAUUACACUAUACUUUGAGUAGGAUGUUAAAGGGUAUUUCAAAAUUUUUAUUAACAAUUAGAUCAUGUUUCUAAUGUU